Molecule: small nucleolar RNA, 138 nt
Organism: Arabidopsis thaliana (thale cress)
Lineage: Eukaryota; Viridiplantae; Streptophyta; Magnoliopsida; Brassicales; Brassicaceae
Product: other RNA
Exons: 1
Source: RefSeq
UGUGCUUAUUGACGGUCUUGUGCUGGUUAGAUGAAUUCAACAUCAGUAGAUAACUUUAUCAUAAGCUAAAUGUAGUGCCGCUUUGUCUUUUUCAAGUUUUCUCUGUGGAGUAAGCUUUAAUCUUGGUGGCAGAAAUAG